RNAcentral lists this unclassified non-coding RNA (262 nucleotides) under Hevea brasiliensis (rubber tree). Lineage: Eukaryota; Viridiplantae; Streptophyta; Magnoliopsida; Malpighiales; Euphorbiaceae. The record is from RNAcentral.
GCAGACGCCCGUGCGGGCGACGCCGCGAUAAGGGAGAAUUGGACACUUGUUGGUUGCGACCGACCAAGUCCGGCAGCGAUAUGACGGAAAGUCGUAAGGCCCCGGCAGGAUGCUCGCAAUCUGCGCGGCCUCAAGACAGGCCGAGAACGGGUAAGAUGAGUGAGUAAGCGCCGGAAUCGACGGUGGCCUCACAUUCGAUGCCGCGCAGCGUGCCGUCGCGAUCCGCGUAUGCGGUGAUGAUAUAAUGAUGCUCGCGGCAGUU